CACCCCCCGAAAAAAAAACAAAGGGAAUAGAAGCGAAGUGAGAUUUCGGACGAAGGUGGCGGUCACGCGAGAGAAGGAGCGCACGCGCAACGUACACACGUAGACGACAACGGACGGAGGUGCGGCUGUGCUGGUGCCCAUUAGCCCCCUCUCGCUCGCUCUCUCCCGCUCUCGCGAUUUUGGCGCCUCUACCGGCGUGGGUGUGUACAUAGAGGUGCCUGUGAAGGCAGCGGAGCACACCAAAAAGGGGAACGGCGAGCGAGAGAGGAAGGGGCCAUACAGAAGAGGAAGACGACGGCAACAACGGGCACCCUGCUCUCCACCUCUCUUCGUGAGCGACGAGCUACCUUUUCUAUCCCCCCUGCACCUUCCGGCUCGCGCGACUGCGUGAGCCUGCAUAGCCUCGCAGACGCCUGCACACAGGUACAAUCCUGCGCAGUCGUUGAUGCAUGGUCGAUUCUUACCCCUCAGAAACACACGCACACCUACGCAACUACAGCGGAGUGCCCGCAGAGGGAAUAAGCGCUAAGCCGAGAGAGAGAGAUGCCCUUCACGGAGGUGUAUGGCGUGGAGCAGUUCCGUGACAUCGCGAACGAUCCCACGCUCACCGUCGUGUGCUUCAGCGCGGUGUGGUGCGGCCCAUGCAAAACCAUCGAGAAGGAUCUGGACAGGCUCACCUAUGAGUUUGCGAAUGUGCGGUUUGCGAAGGUGGACGCAGACAACAACACGGAAAUCGUGUCCAAGUGCCGCGUGAUGCAGCUGCCAACGUUCAUGCUGGUGAGGGCGGGGCAGAUGCUCGGCUACGUUAUCGGAGCAGACUUAGCGCAGCUGAAGGCAAAGAUACGAGAGGAGGCGAACAAGUCGUGAGCGCGGACGUGCCCGGCGCUUUUCGAUGUGUGUGUCUGCGGGCGGGUGUGCCUUGGGCGCGAAUCACCAGCAGGAGCGGCAACCGAGUAGAAACCACUUUUGAGUCCUGUCCUCCUCUUCCUCCUGGGCGUGGCACCGCGUCUCUUCUCUACACCGCAUCGCACGCGGUCGUGUGAGGCGUUUUUCUUCUGGUAGAGAAGGUGUGUGUGUGUGUGUGUUUGUGUCCCUCCGCUUCAUCUCGUGUCUUGCUUUCUCUGGCCCAGCCUCUUCGCCGUCGCUUGUGUGCUUGUGUUUCUCUGUGAUCGUGGAUAUCGUCUUGGUGGUCGUUCUCCUCGUCGUGCUGGCGCCCUGCUCCUCCGACUCUCAUGGCACCGACGCGGUCGUCGUACCGUUGAUGUUGAUCCUCGCUUCAGCGUCGAGGACGGCCCAUUGUUUCGGUUCUGCACAGCCGUACGCACACGCGGCACGCGCACAGAUCGGUAGACCGCGCGGCCACGUAUUCCGACUAACCGUAGUGGAGACGCCAAGGGAGAGAGAGAGUGGGCUGCUUCAAGCGAGUGCGAAGAAGGGCACAUCAGCGGAGGAGAAGCAGCAGGCGGCCCACCACACAUCCACUUCUCGCGUACUGUCAGAAGACGAUCUUGCUGCACACACACACACACACACACAUACACACACACACACACACACACACACACACACACACACACACACACACGACAUGCGCACUGCGUGGCGCAUAAGGAAGGCGGCAGAAGAGAAAAGCGGCGGUGCGGGAUGUCGGUGAGAGCGGAGGAGGAUGGGAAGAAGCGGUUGGUGAGCGAAAUACAGAUGCGCAUACUGGCUGUAUGGAUGCCUAUGCAUCUCUUGUUGGCGCCGCUGCUGUUGUGUUUGUCUUCCACCCACCCUUUCUCGCAGGCUUCGUUGAUGUGCACACUGUGCGGAUUUCGACGCACCAUCUCAUCAUAACACGUGCUAUUUCAGGAUGGAGGAUGGAGAGAGACGGUCUCUUGGUCAUCGCCAUCUCUCUCCCGACCUCCCGACCGUCCUGUCACAUGCCCACUACUACACGAGCACACAUGUGCAAACCCCGAACGCACAGACGUGUAUGCGCAGCCACUUCGCUUCUCUAGUUCCACCGCACAGUCUAGCCCACACUCUCAACGCGCGCGCGCGCACCAUUCCUCCCCCUCCUGUGUCCUCCUCUUUCGCUUCCUCCACACACACGGACAG
This 2100-nucleotide unclassified non-coding RNA is filed under the name Leishmania donovani. Its description in RNAcentral is "gene:LdHU3.01.0300(CDS-product:thioredoxin_putati ve)". The record is from RNAcentral. Lineage: Eukaryota; Euglenozoa; Kinetoplastea; Trypanosomatida; Trypanosomatidae.